GAAAAUUAGCUAUUUUAGUAUUUGUCCAGUAGGUUUUCUCCUGCAGAAAGCCCCC
RNAcentral lists this small nuclear RNA (55 nucleotides) under Hucho hucho (huchen). Its description in RNAcentral is "U7 small nuclear RNA (ENSHHUG00000042381.1)". It matches the Rfam family "U7 small nuclear RNA". Rfam says of the family: Animal histone pre-mRNAs are spliced by a different mechanism than nuclear pre-mRNAs and self-splicing introns. This processing involves the U7 snRNP, which contains only one RNA species: U7. The 5' end of U7 RNA is thought to base-pair to a conserved spacer element downstream of the cleavage site in histone pre-mRNA. Lineage: Eukaryota; Metazoa; Chordata; Actinopteri; Salmoniformes; Salmonidae. The record is from Rfam by way of RNAcentral.